RNAcentral lists this small nuclear RNA (118 nucleotides) under Seriola lalandi dorsalis. RNAcentral's name for it is "U2 spliceosomal RNA (ENSSLDG00000019668.1)". It matches the Rfam family "U2 spliceosomal RNA", at positions 67 to 185 of the family's 192-position model. From Rfam's summary of the family: U2 is a small nuclear RNA (snRNA) component of the spliceosome (involved in pre-mRNA splicing). The record is from RNAcentral. Lineage: Eukaryota; Metazoa; Chordata; Actinopteri; Carangiformes; Carangidae.
GUCCUCUAUAUGAGGACAAACAUAUUAAAGUGAUUUUUAGAGCUGGGAGCUGAAAAAGGGGCUUGCUCCGUUCGCUCCACGCAUCGUCCCGGCAUUGCAGUGCCGCCGGGUACGGUGC